This 940-nucleotide ribosomal RNA is filed under the name Wallemia sebi. RNAcentral's name for it is "LSU rRNA". It matches the Rfam family "Eukaryotic large subunit ribosomal RNA", at positions 38 to 962 of the family's 3401-position model. Lineage: Eukaryota; Fungi; Basidiomycota; Wallemiomycetes; Wallemiales; Wallemiaceae. The record is from RNAcentral.
GCAUAUCAAUAAGCGGAGGAAAAGAAACUAACAAGGAUUCCCCUAGUAACGGCGAGUGAAGAGGGAAAAGCUCAAAUUUAAAAGCUGUUGUCUUUCAGGCAACCGCAUUGUAAUCUCAAGAAGUGUUUUCGAUUGUAGCCUGCGUAUAAGUACCUUGGAAUAGGUUGGCAUAGAGGGUGAAACUCCCGUCUUUGAUGCAGAUUACUAUGAUCAUGUGAUACACUUUCUAAGAGUCGAGUUGUUUGGGAAUGCAGCUCAAAAUGGGUGGUAAAUUCCAUCUAAAGCUAAAUAUUGGCCUGAGACCGAUAGCGAACAAGUACCGUGAGGGAAAGAUGAAAAGCACUUUGGAAAGAGAGUCAAACAGAACGUGAAAUUGCUGAAAGGGAAGCGUUUGAAGUUAGUCUGAUAGGAGUUGUUCAAUUGUUACUUUGGUUUCAAUGUAUGCAACUUUUUAUCGGUCAACAUCAAUUUUGAUUGAUGGAUAAAGGUAAUAGGAAUGUGGCUACAAUUUGUAGUGUUAUAGCCUAUUAUCAUAAACAUUGAUUGAGAUUGAGGACGGCAGUGUACCUUUUAGGAAGGUGUUCGCACCUAUUACACUAAGGAUGUUGACAAAAUAGCUUUAAGCGACCCGUCUUGAAACACGGACCAAGGAGUCUAACAUAUCUGCGAGUAUUUGAGUGACAAACUCGAAUGCGUAAUGAAAGUGAAUGUAGGUGUGAAGCGUAAGCUGCAACAUCGACCGAUCUGGAAUUUUUAUAAUGAUGGAUUUGAGUAAGAGCAUAUAUGUUGGGACCCGAAAGAUGGUGAACUAUGCCUGAAUAGGGUGAAGCCAGAGGAAACUCUGGUGGAGGCUCGUAGCGGUUCUGACGUGCAAAUCGAUCGUCAAAUUUGGGUAUAGGGGCGAAAGACUAAUCGAACCAUCUAGUAGCUGGUUCCUGCG